AACGCACAUUGCGCCCUCUGGUAUUCCGGAGGGCAUGCCUGUUCGAGCGUCAUUACACCACUCAAGCCUCGCUUGGUGUUGGGCGUCGCGGUCACACGCGCGCCCCAAUAGCACCGGCCGGUCACCCGAUCUCCGAGCGUAGAAGCAAUUUUCGCUCUCGAGGAAGGGGAAUCGCGCCGUUAAAACCUCCAUCAAAGGUUGACCUCGGAUCAGGUAGGGAUACCCGCUGAACUUAA
RNAcentral lists this unclassified non-coding RNA (236 nucleotides) under uncultured fungus. Its description in RNAcentral is "partial contains 5.8S ribosomal RNA, internal transcribed spacer 2, and large subunit ribosomal RNA". The stretch from base 1 to 52 matches the Rfam family "5.8S ribosomal RNA", at positions 103 to 154 of the family's 154-position model. The record is from RNAcentral. Lineage: Eukaryota; Fungi.